UAGGGAAUCUUCGGCAAUGGGGGCAACCCUGACCGAGCAACGCCGCGUGAGUGAAGAAGGCUUUCGGAUCGUAAAGCUCUGUUGUAAGAGAAGAACGUGUGUGAGAGUGGAAAGUUCAUACAGUGACGGUAACUUACCAGAAAGGGACGGCUAACUACGUGCCAGCAGCCGCGGUAAUACGUAGGUCCCGAGCGUUGUCCGGAUUUAUUGGGCGUAAAGCGAGCGCAGGCGGUUUAAUAAGUCUGAAGUUAAAGGCAGUGGCUUAACCAUUAUUCGCUUUGGAAACUGUUAGGCUUGAGUGCAGAAGAGGGGAGUGGAAUUCCAUGUGUAGCGGUGAAAUGCGUAGAUAUAUGGAGGAACACCGGUGGCGAAGGCGGCUCUCUGGUCUGUGACUGACGCUGAGGCUCGAAAGCGUGGGGAGCAAACAGG
Molecule: ribosomal RNA, 429 nt
Filed under: bacterium
Lineage: Bacteria
Description: partial 16S ribosomal RNA
Rfam family: Bacterial small subunit ribosomal RNA
Source: RNAcentral